Molecule: long non-coding RNA, 300 nt
Organism: Hippocampus zosterae (dwarf seahorse)
Lineage: Eukaryota; Metazoa; Chordata; Actinopteri; Syngnathiformes; Syngnathidae
Exons: 2
Source: RefSeq, a predicted model, not a curated record
ACAACGAAAAUAGAAAACCCCACGAAAACAUUGAAUACAGCCUGCGCCGAAUUAAGAGAUGUAAAAGCCAAUCUAAAACAAGUCGACAACCGCGUUGGACUUAUGGAAAAGAAAGUGAGCAUGAUUGAGGGGCGUCUCACUGAACUUGAAAACUACUCACGACGCUGGAAUCUACGACUCUAUGGUGUAGCUGAAAAGAAAAAACAAAAUGUCCGUGAGGAGGUCAUCUCGAUCUGCCAAGCGGUCCUGCCCGGAGAGAGAAAAGACACAUUUCUUCACGCCAUUGACACUGUACAUCGA